Molecule: long non-coding RNA, 3109 nt
Organism: Nematostella vectensis (starlet sea anemone)
Lineage: Eukaryota; Metazoa; Cnidaria; Anthozoa; Actiniaria; Edwardsiidae
Exons: 2
Source: RefSeq, a predicted model, not a curated record
GUAUCGAGAAUGGGUUCCCUGUACAACACGAGCGGCUGCAGAGUAGACUAAUUUCCUAACCGCUAGCUCAAAUACAGUAAAAAACAUGGGCGAAAACAAGACAUGAAAUUGCAAGUGCUUUGGAAUCCCCCCAGUGUCAGUCACCAGUGACCUCAACAAGUGGCGGAAAGAGGUCUUCAUUGGUGUGCAAGUGAGAAAGCCGUGAGUGAGGUCUAGAGUUGUUGUCAUUCUCAACUUCUUCUUCUGAUGUUACCAAGUCAUCCAUGUCCGGUGGGAUGUCCUCCCGGAAUGGCUCAUCCGACCUCUGAUACUAAAAAUGGAAUAUUUGCAUGAUGUUAUACCUACAGCAUAUGUAAAAGGGCCUUCAAACUAAAACAUUCUAAAAUCUCUGCAUUGCAUGACAAAUUCCCAGAGUCCAAUUCUUAGUAGCUAACUAUUGUUUUGUGUAGAUAAUUGACUUACCUGAGCUGGGUCUAAGAGAGGGGUCCGUAAGGAACUUCUAAAGCCUUCGGUUUCUAAACUUGAGGAAACCAGGCCAACAAAUACCAGCACAAGGCCUAUCAGAUAGAAAAUUAAAUUAAAAAAGGUGUAAAAGGAAGUGGAAUAAAAGCAAUUCGUGCAUGUUAUGACAGAAAACACAAGAAGUACAUCCCACUAUUUUACCAAGGAUACAACAUUUUAAAUUAUUCUUUUUAUAUUAUUUUCAAAUUAUUUUUUAUUCAUUGUUAGUAUUGGAAGCUAUCAAAUAAAUAAUAAUUUAAAAUAAAUAAUAAUUAUAUAAUGAAAUAAAAUUUAGAAAAUCACUUUACCUAAGACUUCUAAAACAAUAACUGGAGUAUCAAUGUUAUUGGAAAAAUGCCUGAUGAACAUCCAAUCUUCCAGCCAAGUGAGUAGUGGCACAAGGCAAAUCACCCUGUUGGUCGACACUGGUCCUGGAGAAACAACAGUUUUAUAUAUAUAAUGCAUGGAUGCAGGCGUUCAUAGAACAGUGCUCAAUACACAGGUGUAGAGCUACAUGUUUUAUUAAAUGCUUUUAUUUGGUGAAAUCUUUGGCUGGGUGUGUUCUGCACACUCCACCACAGAAACGGUUAUGGCAAGAACCAAUCACAUAAAGUUAGACAAGUAUUAAAUUGCCUGUGAACUGUUCCGCAUGAACAUUUAAAAGUAAGUAAAUGAACUAUCUAAGAAAUGUAAACAAAACAAAAAAGAAGAAUCUGUAGUUAAGGGAUUAGACAAUAACAAUGAAAUAAAAAAAAUAACAAAUGUAAGCAGUGCUAGAUAAAGCUAAGUUCGAAUAGAUUGAGUUAGUUAGUUCAGUGAGCUAAAAUGCAGUAACAGCAGACAAUUGUUGGUAAACUACUUGUAAAUUUCGCUUAUUUCAAUUCAUGAUAAAUGAAGCUUAUGCUUGUUUCUUCAUUCUAUUUGACUAUAAAUGUUAUGAAAUAGUACAAAAUCCAAGUCGAAAAGCCUUCAUUACACUGCAAUGGGCAAAAUAGGAUGUUUUUAUAAAAAAGGUUCUUCUAAAAAAAGAGUGUAUGCAUGCCUCGUCUUGACAAAACAUUGAGCCCAUUUCAGUAGAGGCAAGGCCCCAUCCUGAUGUUCUCAACACAUUGGACUAGCAGUAAUUUCACAGAGCGACACAUAAAAUAGCUAAAAUAUGAUGGCCACAAAGACAGCAGAAGCAGGCCAUAGAUUUGUAAUGUGUGUGCAUCCUCAGGGACCCAGGGCGUCGCAGAGAUUUGGCACACAGAGAGCGCACAAGAAAGAACUCUUUUUUCUCGUGCGCUCCCUGUGUGGGCAUCUCUGCGACGCCCUUGGUCCCUGAGGAUGAUGUGUAUGGUUUGUUUACCCAAGUACUCAAUUUUCUUUCAACUUGUGAGCCCACUGUAUAGUCAUGUGGGGUUGUUCUUCGGUUAUGGCUAAUGUUGAUCAUACUCACCAACUGCUUUGUAAAGAUAGUCAACAAUAAUAGCUGCUAACCAGCCGCACAUGACAGUCAGGAAGAGUAUAGAUAUGUUACCCCCCUUGGUCAGCCACUGUACCUGUAUCAAACAGACAAAAUAUGAUGAUCAGGAAUACACCAAAAACUGGUAUUAGACUCAAAUUUUCGUCUUUAAAAAGACUUCUUCAAGGCAAUAUUAUUAAGUCUUAUUAAAGAUGAAAAUUUGGCAGAGUCUAGUCCAGUUUUUGGUGUAUUGUAUUUAUUCUUCUGGUUCACGAUCACGACAAUUUGGGCUUUUUGUAUUUAUUUGUAUUGCUGAUCAGGAAUAAUAUAGAACCACACUAUGCCUGUAUCAAAUAGACAAUAUAUGACUGAUGAUGGCGAUGGUAAAGAUGACAUAGCUGUCAACCUGGCUUUAGGAAAAAUCUUGAGAAAAUACAGUAAAUGUAUCAGAAGUACCAAGAUAGCUUAUGUGGGAGAAUACAGUAAUAAAUGUAAGGAUAUUUCAAGAAAAUUUGGCUUGACAAAAGGUUCAAAAUCUUGAGACCCACGCCUUAUGCAGGAGAGUUGACAGCUAUGUGAUGAUGAUGAUAAUAGUAAAAUACAAAAUCACUAAGCAUCUCUUUGUGUUGUCAACAUUAGAUUCUCAAUAUGAUAUAACUAAUAACAAGAGAAAAUACUUUAUUUAGAUCAACUGCUUUAUAUUUUGGCAAUGUACAACACAGCCUUUCUCAGGGUGACAUGUAGUAACUACAAUUGUUAGCCUCAGUCACCCUGAAAAACGCUGUUGUAAACCGCCAAAAUAUAGGCGCAGAUCAAAACAAAGUAUUUUCUCUUGUUAUUAACAAUAAGGAAUGAUAUAUAUAUAUUAUGAUGCCUUCCUUUGUCAACCACAAUACCAUUUUAUCAACACCUAAAUUCAUAAUAAAAAAAUACCAGUUUUUUUCUCUUUAACUGUAAACAUUAGUCCUCUGGUAGUUACUCUUUAUUGCUAACAAAUGUUACCUUAUUUAAGGGUUCAAAAAUAAACAUGAGGCCAAAAAUCACCAAGCCAUAGAGUCCUGCAAAAAGAUUAUUCCAGAUACCAGCCACAGUGUAGUGUAUAUCUUCAUUCUUGGCCUUCCAAAAUACUGCAAAAUAAAAUAAAAGAAUAUUACAGGAUUAAAA